This 496-nucleotide ribosomal RNA is filed under the name uncultured bacterium. RNAcentral describes it as "partial 16S ribosomal RNA". It matches the Rfam family "Bacterial small subunit ribosomal RNA", at positions 28 to 506 of the family's 1533-position model. The record is from RNAcentral.
GAUGAACGCUGGCGGCGUGCCUAAUACAUGCAAGUCGAGCGAACAGACGAGGAGCUUGCUCCUCUGACGUUAGCGGCGGACGGGUGAGUAACACGUGGAUAACCUACCUAUAAGACUGGGAUAACUUCGGGAAACCGGAGCUAAUACCGGAUAAUAUAUUGAACCGCAUGGUUCAAUAGUGAAAGACGGUUUUGCUGUCACUUAUAGAUGGAUCCGCGCCGCAUUAGCUAGUUGGUAAGGUAACGGCUUACCAAGGCAACGAUGCGUAGCCGACCUGAGAGGGUGAGCGGCCACACUGGAACUGAGACACGGCCCAGACUCCGACGGAAGGCAGCAGUAGGGAAUCUUCCGCAAUGGGCGAAAGCCUGACGGAGCAACGCCGCGUGAGUGAUGAAGGUCUUCGGAUCGUAAAACUCUGUUAUUAGGGAGGAACAAAUGUGUAAGUAACUAUGCACGUCUUGACGGUACCUAAUCAGAAAGCCACGGCUAACUACGU